This 727-nucleotide ribosomal RNA is filed under the name Amycolatopsis orientalis. RNAcentral's name for it is "bacterial SSU rRNA". It matches the Rfam family "Bacterial small subunit ribosomal RNA", at positions 59 to 803 of the family's 1533-position model. The record is from RNAcentral. Lineage: Bacteria; Bacillati; Actinomycetota; Actinomycetes; Pseudonocardiales; Pseudonocardiaceae.
AAGUCGAACGAUGAAGCCUUUCGGGGUGGAUUAGUGGCGAACGGGUGAGUAACACGUGGGCAAUCUGCCCUGUACUUUGGGAUAAGCCUGGGAAACUGGGUCUAAUACCGGAUAUGACCGCUCCUCGCAUGGUUUUUGGUGGAAAGCUCCGGCGGUACAGGAUGAGCCCGCGGCCUAUCAGCUUGUUGGUGGGGUAAUGGCCUACCAAGGCGACGACGGGUAGCCGGCCUGAGAGGGUGACCGGCCACACUGGGACUGAGACACGGCCCAGACUCCUACGGGAGGCAGCAGUGGGGAAUAUUGCACAAUGGGCGCAAGCCUGAUGCAGCGACGCCGCGUGAGGGAUGACGGCCUUCGGGUUGUAAACCUCUUUCGCCAGGGACGAAGCGCAAGUGACGGUACCUGGAUAAGAAGCACCGGCUAACUACGUGCCAGCAGCCGCGGUAAUACGUAGGGUGCGAGCGUUGUCCGGAAUUAUUGGGCGUAAAGAGCUCGUAGGCGGUUUGUCGCGUCGUUCGUGAAAACUCCACGCUUAACGUGGAGCGUGCGGGCGAUACGGGCAGACUUGAGUUCGGUAGGGGAGACUGGAAUUCCUGGUGUAGCGGUGAAAUGCGCAGAUAUCAGGAGGAACACCGGUGGCGAAGGCGGGUCUCUGGGCCGAUACUGACGCUGAGGAGCGAAAGCGUGGGGAGCGAACAGGAUUAGAUACCCUGGUAGUCCACGCUGU